Molecule: ribosomal RNA, 301 nt
Filed under: uncultured bacterium
Lineage: Bacteria
Description: partial 16S ribosomal RNA
Rfam family: Bacterial small subunit ribosomal RNA
Source: RNAcentral
CAGCAGCCGCGGGAAUACGAAGGGUGCAAGCGUUAAUCGGAAUUACUGGGCGUAAAGGGCGCGUAGGCGGCGCUCCAAGUUAGGCGUGAAAUUCCCGGGCUCAACCUGGGGACUGCGCUUAAGACUGGAGUGCUUGAGGAUGGAAGAGGGUUGUGGAAUUCCCAGUGUAGAGGUGAAAUUCGUAGAUAUUGGGAAGAACACCGGUGGCGAAGGCGGCAACCUGGUCCAUUACUGACGCUGAGGCGCGAUAGCGUGGGGAGCAAACAGGAUUAGAUACCCCCGUAGUCCCUGUCUCUUAUAC